This 2353-nucleotide small RNA is filed under the name Pongo abelii (Sumatran orangutan). RNAcentral describes it as "retained intron". The record is from RNAcentral. Lineage: Eukaryota; Metazoa; Chordata; Mammalia; Primates; Hominidae.
AUCAGGCUCUGUGAUGUAAGUAGGUAAUGGUGGACUUGGGAGCCUAACACUGGUCUGCUUCUUCUUCACCCCUCAGGCGAUUAAGAAUCCAAAGGCUACGCUACGUUACUUCCAGCACCUCCUGGGGAAGCAGGCAGAUAACCCCCAUGUAGCUCUUUACCAGGCCCGCUUCCCGGAGCACGAGCUGACUUUCGACCCACAGAGGCAGACUGUGCACUUUCAGAUCAGCUCGCAGUUGCAGUUCUCACCUGAGGAAGUGUUGGGCAUGGUUCUCAAUUAUUCUCGUUCUCUAGCUGAAGAUUUUGCAGAGCAGCCCAUCAAGGAUGCAGUGAUCACCGUGCCAGUCUUCUUCAACCAGGCCGAACGCCGAGCUGUGCUGCAGGCUGCUCGUAUGGCUGGCCUCAAAGUGCUGCAGCUCAUCAAUGACAACACUGCCACUGCCCUCAGCUAUGGUGUCUUCCGCCGGAAAGAUAUCAACACCACUGCCCAGAAUAUCAUGUUCUAUGACAUGGGCUCAGGCAGCACCGUAUGCACCAUUGUGACCUACCAGAUGGUGAAGACUAAGGAAGCUGGGAUGCAGCCACAGCUGCAGAUCCGGGGAGUAGGGUGAGUGGGUACUUGGCAGGGAGGGCUGCUUGUGAAGACCCUCAAGUCAGGGGUUUCUUCUUGGAGGAGACACACUGCUUUGCUUUCCUGCAUGCUGCAGGAAUGGUCUCCUGAUUGAGGCAUCAGUCAUCGUAGGGGACCACUCACAAAGAGUAAGGGGAAGCCGGGGCGCAGGGGAGGACAGUUUGGGAAAAUUGGAAGACAUGGAACUUUCAAAAUGUAUUCUAAGGAAAUCCAUGGAGCUGUAGGCAAUAUGUAGGGUGUCAGAUUCAAUUAUGUUUUUGUUCUUUUGUCAUUUCUAGUUAAAUAAUUUAACAUUCUUGUUGUCUUAUUUCUUUUUAAUUUUUUUUCAUGGCCUGUGACAUAGCCCUCAGGAGAUCCUGAGAACAUGUGCCCUGUUGUCUUAUUUCUUGAAAUCAUCUUUUUGCGUUUUCACCAUUACCACCCAGCCCAAGUUACCAUCACCUCUUAUUUGCAGAAUUAAAAACAUCUCCCUGUUCCUAGUGACGUCUCCUUUCAGUUCUUUCUUCAUAUUGCAGCCAGAGGGUUCUUCCUAAAAUCCAACCUGAUCAUUACCUGUUUCUUUAAAAACGUGUCACUGGCUCCAAAACUUUCCCUGCGUCUGUCUCAACCCUGUCUUCCACAGCCUGUCUGAGCCCUGAGCCCUCUCUCUCUUUGAGCCCCAGUGAUGCUUGCCCUCCUCUGGAACUUGCCAUGCACUCUCCCACUUCAAGGUCUUUAUGAACAUUGUUGCUUCUGUCUAGAAUGUUCUUUCCCCUCCAGCUAGUGAACUCUGAACUCUUCAGUUCAGGUGAUGCUUGCACUGAACUUAUCCUUCAGGUUUCAGUUCAGGCAUCACUUUUUAGGGGACAUGUUCUUGGGUCUCCCUCAGUAGCCUGAAUCUCCCCCCAUACAUGUUCUGCAGGCAUUGUCCCCUCACCUUUACAACAUGUGAUGUAGUGAUAAUUUCACAUUUGUGUGAUUAUUCAACUUUUCCAUAGCAGGGACCCUGUCUCUUUCCCCGCCGCCACAUUUGUAUUCCCAGAGGGAAGUACAUAAGUAAUGCUCAGUAAACACUGUCGAAUGAACGAGUGGAAGAAGGGUCACUGCGAGGUGUCAGCUGUGCUGUAGAGAGUUGAGGGCAGAGUGUGUGUCCACACAUGGGGCACUGGAGAUGAACAAGGUCCCCUGAGAUGAAGGAAAGGUGCCAUGUGGGGAUGAGAGGCUCCUAUGCAGAUGCGGGGACUCCAUGUGUUCUUCAUGUUUUUCCCUGCUCCCUUUUCUCAACAGAUUUGACCGUACCCUGGGGGGCCUGGAGAUGGAGCUCCGGCUUCGAGAACACCUGGCUGGGCUUUUCAAUGAGCAGCGCAAGGGUCAGAGAGCAAAGGAUGUGCGGGAGAACCCGCGUGCCAUGGCCAAGCUGCUGCGUGAGGCUAAUCGGCUCAAAACUGUCCUCAGUGCCAACGCUGACCACAUGGCACAGGUGCCCACAAGUGGCUGGUUGAGGCUAUAUUUUGUCCCACAUAGAGGGUGGGGGACCCUGCCACUGAACUGGGCUGCUCGUGCCUGGCAUGGCCCAUGCUCCUCCCUCUACCAUCCUCCCAAAGACCUAUUCUUUUUGUUUCUGUCCUACUCACCAAGAGAGCGGGAUCUGGGCAAGAACCCCCUGACAGUCCCCAUCCUCUCCCAGAUUGAAGGCCUGAUGGAUGAUGUGGACUUCAAGGCAAAAGUGACUCGUGUGGAAUUU